AUAAAAACAAUUCCAAUAAUGCAUGAGUUGUAUAAUCCAAAAAUAUAUCUAUUCUAAUUUAUUGUAAAUCUUUUAAAACAUGAUUAGACAGAAUAACCUACAAAAAUUAAACAAAUAAAAAAAACCAGUUUUCAAUAUGUUUGCCAGGUACCACAAGACCUUUAAAAAAAGCCCAACCAGAGCAUUAAGAUGUUUUGCAAAUACCACUAUAUCUUUGAACACAGAAAAGUUCCCAAACGAGGCCCAAGUGGUAGUUUGUGGGGGUGGGGUAAUGGGGGCUUCUGUAGCAUAUCACUUAGCAAAGCUUGGUUGGGGAAAAGAUACUGUUGUCAUAGAACAAAGUAGAAUUGGGGGUGGUACGACUUGGCAUUCUUCAGGUCUAAUAGGUGUCUUCAAACCCAGUUUAGCACAAGUACAAUUGACCAAAUCUAGUGUAGCUUUGUAUAAGGAGUUAGAACAACAAGGAUUAUCCACAGGGUGGAAACAAUGUGGCAGUUUAAACCUAGCUAGAUCCAGAGAUAGAAUGACAGUAUUCAGAAGAAUGAAAGCACAAUCUGUAUCUUGGGACAUAGACUGUGAAUUAUUAACACCAGAACAAUGCAAAGACAAAUGGCCGCUGUUAAACACUGAAGAUAUCCUUGGAGGACUCUGGAUUCCUGGGGACGGAGUUGGUGACCCAUAUGAAACGUGUUUAUCUAUGAUGGCACAAGCCAAAAAUAUGGGUGUAAAAGUAUUUGAAAACUGUGCUAUUAAGAAGAUUCAUCACACUAACCAGAAAGUAUCAAGUGUUGAAACAGAUCUCGGCCAUAUCAAAUGUGAUUACUUUGUCAACUGUGCUGGUUUCUGGGCAAGGGGAAUAGGGAGAUUGUCUGAACCUGUUGUUAAAGUGCCUCUUCAUGCUGUAGAACAUUAUUUUCUUCACACUAAGCCUAUUCCUGCAUUGGAUCCCAUGUUACCAGUGCUAAGAGAUCUGGACGGACAUGUUUAUUUGAGAGAAAAUAGAGGUAGACUUCUGGCCGGUGGAUUUGAACCUGUUGCCAAACCUGCUUAUGAAGAUGGAAGAAUACCUGCCAGCAGCAAAGAGCGUCAACUUCCAGAAGAUUGGGAUCAUUUCCACGUACUGUUAGAACAACUUCUCAAACGAGUACCAUAUUUAGGUACUGUCGUUCUUGAUAGGCUUUGUAACGGUCCUGAAGCCUUCAGUCCCGAUUGUAAAUGGAUAGUAGGAGAAGCACCAGAGAUACGGAAUUAUUUGAUUGCAGCGGGUAUGAAAACCGUGGGAAUAGCUGCAGCUGGAGGAGUUGGUAAGGCCACGGCAGAAAUUAUAGUUAAUGGCGACACGGAAUUCGAUAUGUACGAAAUAGAAGUUUCACGAUUUCUUGGUUUGCACAAUAAUAGAAAGUUUUUAAGAGAUCGGGUCAAGGAAGUUCCUGGUCUGCAUUAUGGAUUAAUAUAUCCUUUUCAUGAAUUUGAAACAGGUAGAAAUUUGAGAAUGUCUCCUGUUUAUCCGAAGUUUCGGGAGAUAGGCGCCGUUUUCGGUCAAGUUAUGGGUUACGAGAGACCAACUUGGUUUAAUGCGGAACAAGCAAGAGUGGAUGAUGGUCAAGACAGCCCCUUUAGAGUAGCUCAUACGAAAACAUUUGCGAAACCUCCUUGGUUUGAAUUUGUAUCCAAAGAGUAUGAAGCGUGUAGGGAACGAAUAGGGAUAAGCGACUAUUCUUCAUUUACAAAAGUGGAUUUGUGGUCGAAAGGUGAUGAGGUGGUGGAUGCUCUUCAAUUUGUAUGCUCAAAUGAUGUGGACGUACCAAUAGGAAGUAUUAUUCAUACUGGAAUGCAGAAUAGACAUGGCGGAUACGAAAAUGAUUGUUCGUUGGCACGCAUUUCUGAAAACCAUUACAUGAUGAUAGCUCCCACGAUCCAACAAACAAGAUGUAAAGUGUGGCUCCAGAAGCAUCUUCCUCCAACCGUCACAAUAUCAGACGUUACGAGUAUGUUCACGGCUUUGUGCAUCAUGGGACCUUUCACGAGACAACUUCUUUCGGAAUUAACCGAUACUGAUUUGAAUCCUCGCAACUUUCCAUUCUUUACUUUUAAGAUGUUGGACGUUGGUCUGGCCAACGGAAUCAGGACAAUGAAUCUUACUCAUACAGGGGAGUUAGGAUAUGUUCUGUAUAUACCAAAUGAGUUUGCGUUGCACGUUUACACAAGUCUGAUGGAAGCUGGUGAAAAGUACGGGAUCACUCCAGCAGGCUACUACGCCACCAGGGCUCUUAGAGUAGAGAAAUUUUACGCAUUUUGGGGUCAGGAUCUAGACACUACGACAACACCAUUGGAAUGCGGUCGAGUGUGGAGGGUCAAAUUCGAUAAAAAAGUAGACUUUAUCGGAAGAGACGCCCUUCUCAGACAACGAGAAGAAGGAGUUAAAAGAAUGUAUUUGCAACUACUUCUAGAAGACCAUGAUUCGGAAACGGAUCUCUGGCCUUGGGGUGGAGAGCCUAUCUAUAGAAAUGGAAAAUACGUCGGUAUGACAACAACCACCGGAUAUGGAUACACAUUUAAAAAACAGGUAUGUCUUGGGUUUGUACACAACUUUGAUGAGAAGGGAGAAAAGCAAAAGGUUACCAACGACUACGUUACCAGUGGCCAUUUCGAAGUUGAUGUUGCUGGAAUCAGGUACCAGGCAAAGGCGAACCUGCACUCACCGAUUCUUCCUACUAAACAUCCCGAUAAAGAACGUGACGCUUAUCAAGCCACCAGAGACAAAGGGGAUGAUCCCAAUGCUUCAAAAAUUAUAAAGGCUGUGUGAAAACCUAGAGAUUGAGUUUGAUUGAUUGAUUGAGUGAAAACAAUUCCUUACUUAUGAGCUGAAACAAAAAAAUGUUUAUUUCAGUCCAGCCGUCAGAGAUUUACACAAUCCCCAAAAAUUUGCAAAAUUUUUGCAUUCCUACCCCCGGGCUACCCCUAACCUCUCCCUGUGGAGGGGAACAGAAGCAUCGAUUUCUCAAGAAUCUGUACGCCGUUGAAAAAAUGUUUUAAACAAGUAGCCCAGUAACUGAACGGGAAAUUCGGCGAUACCGUGUAAUUUUCAGGGGCAACUCCGAAUUGCAUGAAAAUUUGCAUUUAGGUUCUACUUACCCUCCACUUCAAAGUUGAAAUUGUGCCGUUGGUUGAUUUUACUUGGCACCCCUUCUUGGGGGUGAAAAACAUACGUUAAAGAUAAGACCGGAAAUUGAUAAAUUGACUGUUUUUAAGCAACUUUUGUUCUAUAAAGUUUUUCACCUAACUCAAUACUUAUCGAGUUAUUUGUCAUUGAAAAUGUUGAUUUUUCGACAAAAGAACUGCGUUUUCAGACGGUUUUUCGCAAAUAACUCAAAAAGUAAAUAUUUUAUCGAAAAAAAUAUCCUUAGCAAAAGUGUAGCUUAUAAAAAACCCAAAAAAAUGGUGUAUCAUUAAAGUCUAUCAAUCAAAUAAAAACAAAGUUGUAGCUCAUGAAAAAUACGUUCUUAUUCGUCUAAUUCCAAAUCGAAUAUUUCAAGGUGAAAUCACCGAAAAAUUAAGCACUUUUCGGGAAAAACCCAUUUAAACUUUCUUAAGGUGUUUAUAAAAAGCUUUGUUUUAAUUGUUAACAAAAGUUUUAGCAUUAAAAAUAAGCGAGUUACGCUCAAAAUAAAGUUGGCCCUCUUUUUUUUUGUAAAAAAUCAUGAAAAUCUCGCCGUGUUUAGCUCCCCAAAUGAAAUCAAUCGCUACCGCUUCACAAACAAUUUACUUACCUAUCUAUUUUUUAUAUGAUCUGUCAGUCUCACCGGUUAAAGUGUUUAUUUUUGAAAGGGUUAUAAUUGAAAAAGCUUGAAUGGGUCACUAAUCACAAGUGUAUGCAAAUUUUGAACAGUCAUAUCUUAACCAAUUUUGGCUUACGGAGAAACAAAAUGAAACUAGCAUAUGUAUAAUAGCAAAACCUACAUUUUUUUACUCUUUAAGAUUUUUCUUAUCACUAAUACUUUUCAAGUUAUUUUGAAAAAAUGAAAUUUUUCAAAAAUUUUUAGAAAUUAUUUUUUUACUAUAAAACCAAAUAUUUUCAAAAAUAAGCACUUCAAACCAAUCAAACUUACAGAUCAUAUAAACAAUACACAUACAGUUAAAAUAGAUGGUAAAGCCAAACGAUUAAUUUCAUUUAGGGUGCUAAAUAGUGGGAGGUUUUCACGAUUUUUUUUACAAAAAAAAAGGGGCCAACUUUUUUUUCAGUGUAACUCGUUUAUUUUUGAUGCUGUAAACUUUUGUAAAAAAACAAAUAAUAAGCUUUUUUUCGAUACUUUAAAAAUGUUAAUAAGGUUUUCCCGAAAAACGCUUCUUUCUUCGGUGAUUUCGCGUUGAAUUAUUCGAUUUGGAAUUAGACGAAUAAGAACGUAUUUUUCGUGAGCUACAACUUUGCUUCUACUCAAUUUGUAGACUUUACUGGUACACCGUUUUUUUCGUUUUUU
Molecule: unclassified non-coding RNA, 4478 nt
Filed under: Diabrotica virgifera virgifera (western corn rootworm)
Lineage: Eukaryota; Metazoa; Arthropoda; Insecta; Coleoptera; Chrysomelidae
Description: pyruvate dehydrogenase phosphatase regulatory subunit, mitochondrial
Source: RNAcentral